GACGAACGCUGGCGGCGUGCUUAACACAUGCAAGUCGAACGGAAAGGCCCUGCUUUUGUGGGGUGCUCGAGUGGCGAACGGGUGAGUAACACGUGAGUAACCUGCCCUUGACUUUGGGAUAACUUCAGGAAACUGGGGCUAAUACCGGAUAGGAGCUCCUGCUGCAUGGUGGGGGUUGGAAAGUUUCGGCGGUUGGGGAUGGACUCGCGGCUUAUCAGCUUGUUGGUGGGGUAGUGGCUUACCAAGGCUUUGACGGGUAGCCGGCCUGAGAGGGUGACCGGCCACAUUGGGACUGAGAUACGGCCCAGAAUCCUACGGGAGGCAGCAGUGGGGAAUAUUGCACAAUGGGCGGAAGCCUGAUGCAGCAACGCUGCGUGCGGGAUGACGGCCUUCGGGUUGUAAACCGCUUUCGCCUGUGACGAAGCGUGAGUGACGGUAAUGGGUAAAGAAGCACCGGCUAACUACGUG
Molecule: ribosomal RNA, 468 nt
Filed under: uncultured bacterium
Lineage: Bacteria
Description: partial 16S ribosomal RNA
Rfam family: Bacterial small subunit ribosomal RNA
Source: RNAcentral